This 72-nucleotide transfer RNA is filed under the name Lactobacillus phage ATCC 8014-B2. It matches the Rfam family "tRNA". Rfam says of the family: Transfer RNA (tRNA) molecules are approximately 80 nucleotides in length. Their secondary structure includes four short double-helical elements and three loops (D, anti-codon, and T loops). Lineage: Duplodnaviria; Heunggongvirae; Uroviricota; Caudoviricetes. The record is from Rfam by way of RNAcentral.
GUGUCUUUAGUCUAAUGGAUAAGACACAUGACUCCUAAUCAUGGAAUGACAGUUCGACUCUGUCAAGACACA